UUACGGCGAUAUCACGUUAAAAUACCGGUUCCCGUACGAGCACCGAAGUUAAGCAACGUCAAGUCUGGUCAGUACCUAGACAAGUGACGGCUUGGGAAUACCAAGUGCUGUA
Non-coding RNA from Acanthosepion pharaonis, 112 nucleotides. The record is from the annotation of a GenBank genome assembly. Lineage: Eukaryota; Metazoa; Mollusca; Cephalopoda; Sepiida; Sepiidae.